AUGUACAAAAAAUUACAAUACAGACCUAAUGAUAUGAAAGAUAACAAAAUAACAAGAAAACUAUAGCACGUAAGAAAAAAAAUAAGCAGUAUGUUCAUCUCUAUAACUUGAGUAAUACGCAAUAAUGUAUAAAGGCUAACAAACAGAGACAUGAACCAACUUUGAGUUGGCCUAGCGGUAAAAGAAUUAGUUGUAACUACCGCAAUCCGAGUUCAAUUCAUGAUGGAAAUUACUAUUUAUAAUGUUUGGGUUUCCGGCAAAGAGGUGAAACCAUUUUUUUUUACCAAAAAAAACAGAGAGACGACCAACUAGCCAACUAGGAAUUGUCACAUUAAUCCGGACAAAGAAAAAAGGUUGAUGAGCGUUUAGACUUAUCGUCUUUGGGUUUGAGUCGAGCCCACACUAUAUAUUAAAAAAAUAUUAAUAUCUAUCGAAUAUUUGUUAGAUGCUUUAAACUUUUUUUUUGGUUGGAUGCUUAUGGAUACAGUGUUUUGAUAUUGCGUUAAUAAUUAUCUAAUGUAAUCGAUUUAAAUCAUACUAUGGUUGAAAACCAUGACACCAAGAUUCAUCCAUUCAGUUAACUCGUGGUGAUCUAUAAUCAGGGGCGGUCCUUAACUAGCGGAGGCCAUAAGCAAAAAAUAAAAUGGGGGCCCUCAUAAUGAAUGAUAAAUUUGAAGAAAUAGAAAAAAUUUAAGUCACACAAGAGGUAUGAAAUACUAUAUCUUAUGUACAAUAAUGCUUCAAAUAUAAUUAAACAAAAUGGGGGCCCUAGGCCUAGGUUUCACUACGCUCGGCUCAAGGACGCCCCUGUCUAUAAUCAUUCAAGAUGGAAUUAGAACUUCUUUCACUGCGAAUUUGAUCAGGACUGGUCUUACAAUUUACAAAUGUCAUGUAACAGAAACAUUAAGCUUUUCACAUGUCCUGAUCAUACAAAUAUAUAUUACUAUAUAUAGUAGGUUUCACUUGACAUAAAAAUAUCUUCUGGCUUUCACUUUUCAGAGUAUAUUAUCCACAAUUAAGCUCUACUGUACUUGUAUCAAUCUAAUUGAAAAUAAUUUGCAUGUUAAGAUGAUAGUUCACAGUUUCAUGGCCAGAAAAUUAAAAUAGUUUAAUUACCUUACUAGUUUAACUAAUAAGGAAAUGAUAUGCGAAUUAAUAGCUUGACAUGAUACUUGAAGUUUAUCUUUUCGUGUGAAUCAGAUCAAGUUUAUAUCAUUUUAAUCAACCUUGUUUCCGGUGAAAGAAACGACCAAACUGAAAUAUCCAUUUAACAUGAAUCUAACCAAACUCGUAAAAGAAAUAGAAGAAAUUCCAACCAAACCUAUCAAUAUUGAUAAUAUUGACGAAAAAUAUAUACAACCUUAACCUGCAUAUUUGAAAUAAGUCCAGACGGCUAUAUGAAUAUAAAUGACUCUUAGACAUAAUUAUUGCGAACCAAACGAUUUUGUCAGAGUAAUGAGUGAAUCCUAACUAAAGAUAGUUUGGUUUCUAUGGUGGGCUUAGCUCUAAUAGAAUUAAAUUAAUUAAUCAAAACAUUAUUUAAGGAGUUUCUUUUUAUGUCGGGACACAAAUUAAAAUGGUAAGAUGAACUAAUUAAUCAAUGCAAUUUGGUCACAAUGUGGUUCCAUUGUACAAAUUGAGUCAAUAUACCAAACUGUUUUUGAUAAGUUAUAAUCCAAACUGGAGGUUUAUAGACCUAAUAAUUAUCACUGGGUCCAUAUAAAAAAUGGUGGAAUAAAAAGUGAGCACUGGUGUAGAUUCAGUCAUAUAUUAGGCAUGCAAUUCCUAAAUCAAAGUUUUCAAAUGAAACCAAACUAGGUUAAUUGUUUUCAGUUUUGGUUCGGUUAAUUAGGUUUAACCGACUGAUAAAACAAUAAAUUGAUUCAAAUUUUAGUUCAAUUCUGUUUGGGUUGAUUAAAAAAAUUAUAAGUAAAAUAAAUAUCGGAUAUAUCAAAUAUCUUAUCUAUUUAAAGAGUUUUCAAAAUCCUUCUCCCAAAUUAGUUAUUAAACCAAUAUUACUAAAAAAUUGAAAACAUUUGUUUAAAUUAAUCGAUGUUAAAGCUCAAAUUUAAAAUGGAUAUUAUAUCGAUGUAAAUAACAUUUACCGUUGUUUUUCUUCUUCUAAUUAUCUGUCAAUGGAUCUUCAAUCGAAAUCCAUACAAAUCUUUAGAAUUUGUAGAUAUAUAUAUAUAUAUAUAUGGUCAAAGCAUCAUUGAAUUUGGAGUUGAAUAACUCGAAUUUUGGUAUCUCAGGUCAACAACCAUAAUAAACUCAUGUAACCACUAAACCACUACAAAAUAAUUUUAGUAUAUGCAAUACAAAUAUAUGUUAAGGGUAUUAGAACUUUAACUAGUAGAGAAUUUGUAUUGUAUAACCAUCAAAAAAACUUAAACUAGAUAAGUAACUAUCACAUACACUAUUCUUUAUAUUUUUAUAUUAAUUGCAAUUUUACCCUUUUCACAUUUCCCUCUAAUUUUAAUCACUUUUAUAUCUUAAAAUAAUGUUUAUUCAAAAUUUUAAUUUACAUACAAACAUAGAAUUUUUUCUGAACAUAAUAUAUUUUGAAAAUUUUAAAUGGACAUAUAUUUUUACUAAAUCUUUUGUUUAAUGUUAGAAUAACAAUAUUACAUAGACUUAAUAUAUCAUAUGUCUAUUCUAUAUUAAUUUCAUAUAAUUUUUUAAUUUUGUGAAUAUAUAAAUCACAAGACACAUACAAGUUUAUUUUGUUUUUGUAUUUUCCUAUUUUUAAUAUAUAUUUUUGGUUUUGUUUUUGUUUGUAAAUAUUAAAAUAUACUAUUUUGUUUUCAUAAUCUUAAUAUAGCAUGUUAACUCCUCUUCAUUCAUAAACUUGGCCUUCAUUUAUAGCCAGAUCCGAUUCCAAUCCUGAAUCCGAGUCUUCGUCAUCGCAGUCAUAGAUAUCUUUGAUUCUCUGCACUAUAUCAACCAUUCAUGCUUUUGUACUUACUAUAUUUAACAUUUAAAUAUAAGUUUUUUUGGUAUUAUAUGUUUAGGAAAAUUUGAAAAAAUAAUUUGCAAAGGGAUUUUAUUUUGAAAGUUUCAUUGUAUUUUAUUUCUUUUGAAAACUACACUUUUUCUUAAGCUAAAUGACUAGUUUAUCCUAAUUAAAAUGUAUAUACAGCAAGAAAAUAAAUUUAUUAUAAUUUUAAUUUAGAUGACAAGUAAUAAAAAUAAAAUAUAAAAUAAUCCUCGUUGAAAACAUAAUAUACUAGGUGAAGAAAUUCACAGUCGUUUGAAACUUGUCAAAUUUUGAUCUAGUGUCUUUGUGUUUUAUAAAUUUUGUAUAUUUAUCUCUUUUUCAAAAAUUUUGGGCAUAGUAAUGACCAAUCCAAAUUAACGAGCACAUUGACAGUGUAUUGUCCCUAGUUCUACAAUUAUUCAGUGGAGAGAAAUUUUUUUGAAGCUGUUGUUUCGGUGAGAUGAUGAGUCUUAACAUGUAAAGUUUUAUAUUAUGUAUCAAAAUGAUCUUUGUCAUGUAAUAUUCUCUAGUUAUCUAAGGUUUAUAUUUUUUUAUAACGAUAAACAUUGAAAUAUUAUAAUAUAUUUAUCCAAUUAUAUAUUUUAAAUUAAUAUAUUUUUCAAUAACUUCAAAAUUUGAAUUUUAAUUAUUAAAAGAUAAUAUUUAACUUAAACCUUGUCAAGAUGUGGUUUUAUAUAUUGGAUAAGUAUAAUUUUCAAAAAAAAAAACAAAAUCAUUAUAUUUUUCAAAUUUGAAAACAUAAAUAGAAAUUUUUCUAAUCAUCCCUAUAUGUUUUCCAAACUGAAUUGAACUCUAUAAAUUAAUAAUAAUGAGUCAAAUUAUUUCCUAUAUUUAUAGUUUUUUGAGACAAUAUAUUUUAUAUUAACAAUAUAAAUAGAAUGGUAUUUUGUUGUAGUGUGUUGUAUACAAAUGCUCACGUGUUGUAAAUGAAUGCAAUGUCUAUUUGUAUCGUAAAUAACACAUUCUUCAAGACAUAGUUAUUUUCUUAAUUUUUUCUCUACUGUGGUUAUAACCCAUGUUCUAAAACUUGGGGCAACUCGGACGCUUAAUCGAAGAGUAAACAUUGAUCGGGUAUGAACCGUGGCGGAUUGGAUAACUCGGAUUUGUCAAAAUUUUGAUCUUUUCUCUUUGAUUUUGAGGCUAAAAUUCUAUUUAUGGUUGAAAUCCUAUUACAACGGAACAAGAACACAAUAAAAGAUGUUGAAAUCAUGAUGAAUCGUGGAGAAAAUGGUGAAAAGCAUAAAUUAGGGUUUACAUGUCAAAAUUGAAGAAUAUUAAAAUGAAAACAUGUUAUGUAUUUAUAAAAGAUAAAAAAACAAACAGAAAGACCAAAACGGCUUCUUGAUCACUCAACUUUACGAAGAGUUUUAUAGGCACACUAACCACCAUACUAUGUUGCAUUUAUUGGUUUUCCAUACAUAUACUAAUAUAUAUAAGAAAACAUUUAAAAUUACGUUUCGAUUAAUCCAGAUUAAUUUUUAAUUUUACCUCAACUCGUUAGGUCUAGACCAGUCGCACGCGUUAGCCUAGGGCCAUCUGGAACAUGGGUUAUACCCCAAAU
This is a long non-coding RNA of Brassica rapa (field mustard), 4559 nucleotides long. RefSeq lists it as uncharacterized. The record is from RefSeq and is a predicted model, not a curated record. Lineage: Eukaryota; Viridiplantae; Streptophyta; Magnoliopsida; Brassicales; Brassicaceae.